GACGAACGCUGGCGGCGUGCUUAACACAUGCAAGUCGAACGGUAAGGCUCCAGCUUGCUGGGCUACACGAGUGGCGAACGGGUGAGUAACACGUGGGUGACCUGCCCUGCACUUCGGGAUAAGCCUGGGAAACUGGGGCUAAUACCGGAUAGGAGCGCACCGUGCGGGUGUUGUGGAAAGUUUUUUCGGUUUGGGAUGGGCCCGCGGCCUAUCAGCUUGUUGGUGGGGUAAUGGCGUACCAAGGCGGCGACGGGUAGCCGGCCUGAGAGGGUGGACGGCCACAUAGGGACUGAGAAACGGCCCAGACUCCUACGGGAGGCAGCAGUGGGGAAUAUUGCACAAUGGGCGGAAGCCUGAUGCAGCGACGCCGCGUGGGGGAUGACGGCCUUCGGGUUGUAAACUCCUUUCACCAUCGACGAAGGGUCUCUGACGGUAGAUGGAGAAGAAGCACCGGCUAACUACGUG
RNAcentral lists this ribosomal RNA (465 nucleotides) under uncultured bacterium. RNAcentral's name for it is "partial 16S ribosomal RNA". It matches the Rfam family "Bacterial small subunit ribosomal RNA", at positions 28 to 507 of the family's 1533-position model. The record is from RNAcentral.